ACGGGACCCGCACAAGCGGUGAUGAUGUGGAUUAAUUCGAUGCAACGCGAAGAACCUUUACCUACCCUUGACAUGUCCGGAACUUGCCAGAGAUGGCUUGGUGCCCGAAAGGGAAUCGGAACACAGGUGCUGCAUGGCUGUCGUCAGCUCGUGUCGUGAGAUGUUGGGUUAAGUCCCGCAACGAGCGCAACCCUUAUCAUUAGUUGCUACGCAAGGGCACUCUAAUGAGACUGCCGGUGACAAACCGGAGGAAGGUGGGGAUGACGUCAAGUCCUCAUGGCCCUUAUGAGUAGGGCUUCACACGUCAUACAAUGGUCGGUACAGAGGGUUGCCAAGCCGCGAGGCGGAGCCAAUCCCACAAAGCCGAUCGUAGUCCGGAUUGUUCUCUGCAACUCGAGAGCAUGAAGUCGGAAUCGCUAGUAAUCGCAGGUCAGCAUACUGCGGUGAAUACGUUCCCGGGUCUU
This 464-nucleotide ribosomal RNA is filed under the name uncultured Thiobacillus sp. RNAcentral's name for it is "bacterial SSU rRNA". It matches the Rfam family "Bacterial small subunit ribosomal RNA", at positions 916 to 1381 of the family's 1533-position model. The record is from RNAcentral. Lineage: Bacteria; Pseudomonadati; Pseudomonadota; Betaproteobacteria; Nitrosomonadales; Thiobacillaceae.